RNAcentral lists this ribosomal RNA (484 nucleotides) under uncultured bacterium. RNAcentral's name for it is "partial 16S ribosomal RNA". It matches the Rfam family "Bacterial small subunit ribosomal RNA", at positions 30 to 507 of the family's 1533-position model. The record is from RNAcentral.
AUUGAACGCUGGCGGCAGGCCUAACACAUGCAAGUCGAGCGGAAGAAGGGAGCUUGCUCCUGGAUUCAGCGGCGGACGGGUGAGUAAUGCCUAGGAAUCUGCCUGGUAGUGGGGGAUAACGUCCGGAAACGGGCGCUAAUACCGCAUACGUCCUGAGGGAGAAAGUGGGGGAUCUUCGGACCUCACGCUAUCAGAUGAGCCUAGGUCGGAUUAGCUAGUUGGUGGGGUAAAGGCCUACCAAGGCGACGAUCCGUAACUGGUCUGAGAGGAUGAUCAGUCACACUGGAACUGAGACACGGUCCAGACUCCUACGGGAGGCAGCAGUGGGGAAUAUUGGACAAUGGGCGAAAGCCUGAUCCAGCCAUGCCGCGUGUGUGAAGAAGGUCUUCGGAUUGUAAAGCACUUUAGGUUGGAAGGAAGAGCAGUAAGUUAAUACCUUGCUGUUUUGACGUUACCAACAGAAUAAGCACCGGCUAACUUCGUG